This 77-nucleotide transfer RNA is filed under the name Rhodopseudomonas sp. BR0C11. RNAcentral's name for it is "tRNA-Arg". It matches the Rfam family "tRNA". Rfam says of the family: Transfer RNA (tRNA) molecules are approximately 80 nucleotides in length. Their secondary structure includes four short double-helical elements and three loops (D, anti-codon, and T loops). Lineage: Bacteria; Pseudomonadati; Pseudomonadota; Alphaproteobacteria; Hyphomicrobiales; Nitrobacteraceae. The record is from RNAcentral.
GGUCGCGUAGCUCAACCGGAUAGAGCGCCCGGCUCCUAUCCGGGAGGUUGCCGGUUCGAGUCCGGCCGCGAUCGCCA